GUCUACGGCCACACCAUCCUGAACACGCCCGAUCUCCUCUGAUCUCGGAAGCUAAGCAGGGUCGGGCCUGGUUAGUACUUGGGUGGGAGAAGCAAUAACUGGAGAUA
Molecule: ribosomal RNA, 107 nt
Filed under: Erinaceus europaeus (western European hedgehog)
Lineage: Eukaryota; Metazoa; Chordata; Mammalia; Eulipotyphla; Erinaceidae
Source: RNAcentral